Small nuclear RNA from Rattus norvegicus (Norway rat), 145 nucleotides. Ensembl annotates it as U4 spliceosomal RNA. Lineage: Eukaryota; Metazoa; Chordata; Mammalia; Rodentia; Muridae. The record is from Ensembl.
AGCUUCGCACCGUGGCAGUAUUGUAACCAAUUAGGUUUAUUCAAGGUGUGAUUACUGCUAGGUGAAAAAUUUCCCCCCCUCCAAAUGAGGUAAGAAAAAUCACAUGAGGAAAUGUAUAUAGAAUAUAUGACCGAGCUAGCCAUAU